This is a long non-coding RNA of Oncorhynchus tshawytscha (Chinook salmon), 1027 nucleotides long. The record is from Ensembl. Lineage: Eukaryota; Metazoa; Chordata; Actinopteri; Salmoniformes; Salmonidae.
AGAAGAACCUGACACAUCAAGAGAACCCUGACACAUCAAGAGAACCCUGACACAUCAAGAGAAGAGAACCCUGACACAUCAAGAGAACCCUGACACAUCAAGAGAACCCUGACACAUCAAGAGAAGAGAACCCUGACACAUCAAAAAGUGGAGAAUGCUUACCUUAACAUUUGUAUAGAACAUUCAGAGAAUUAUCUCCUCUCCGAACCAAAAACACAUUUAACAAUAUGUAGAUUGACAAACUUUCCAAAAGGUGAACAGUUUAUUGUAGGGUAGUUUACAUGUUAUAAGUUCCAGGUAUGUGGGUGGGUUCCAUGUAGGUUUACGUAGCUAUAAAUUAGUAGUAAUUUACAGUUCUGUUCAUAGCACAGCUGAAAUGGAAUGUGGGAUAGAAUGAUGUUACCCAACCCACUAGUCAGCUAACAUGUCCAAUUGGUCUAUUAACCAUCCUCCAGGAGUCUAGACUAGACUAGAGCAUGGUGAAUAUAGAGUAGAGGACUGACUGUCUGUUAACCCUCCUCCAGUAGUCUAGACUAGAGCAUGGUGAAUAUAGAGUAGAGGACUGACUGUCUGUUAACCCUCCUCCAGUAGUCUAGACUAGAGCAUGGUGAAUAUAGAGUAGAGGACUGACUGACUGUCUGUUAACCCUCCUCCAGGAGUCUAGACUAGAGCAUGGUGAAUAUAGAGUAGAGGACUGUCUGUUAACCCUCCUCCAGGAGUCUAGACUAGACUAGAGCAUGGUGAAUAUAGAGUAGAGGACUGUCUGUCUGUUAACCCUCCUCCAGGAGUCUAGACUAGACUAGAGCAUGGUGAAUAUAGAAUAGAGGACUGACUGUCUGUUAACCCUCCUCCAGUAGUCUACUCUAUAUUCACCAUGCUCUAGUCUAGACUCCUGGAGGAGGGUUAACAGACAGUCCUCUACUCUAUAUUCACCAUGCUCUAGUCUAGACUACUGGAGAAGGGAUAACAGACAGUCAGUCCUCUACUCUAUAUUCACCAUGCUCUAGUCUAGACUACUGGAGGAGGG